UGUGUGUUGUACACGGGAAACAGCGCCCCUCUGUGACGUCUACCGUUAUUGGUUAAACUGACUUCAACGGUCACUGUGCACUAGUCGUUGAAGUUUACAGAAGAUUCGAGAAAGCCGUUAGCCAACCCGGUGAGCAUCUAAGUUGCUUCGACUGAAACGCUGGUUAAAACAUCGUAACAUCGUAGCAGGUCGACAUUUUUCCCAAUUGGAAAAGUCGGAGGCACGUGUAGUAUUUUCUUAAGUUAAUUUUAAGAUAUAAGCUUUCACGAAAUGGCGACGAUGGUGAUGGAACAGCCGUUAGUGACAGAUUGGGGAAUAAACUGCUACCGUACUAGCGCCUUUAAACGAUGCUUUGUUGACAAAUUGUCGUGUUCCAAUGAGAGGCGCUGUUUGUGCACAUUUGAGAACAGCCAGUACACAGGACAGCUCGGCCACAAGGGCAGCCUCCUGUACUCUGCGAUCUCCAGUUCCAGCCUGGUCUUGAUGUCAAGCAGCAUCUUGUACUCCUGGCCCUGGUGCUCCAGGUCUGCUCUCAGCUGAGCCAGCUGCUCCUCCAGAGCGCUCACCUGCCUCUGGUACCCUGCCAGGAUGUUGUUGUAGCGGAGCUUGGUCUCAGCCAGAGAUCCUUCCAGAACAUUUUUCUGUGGAAUGAAGUAAAGGGGCAGGAGUCGUCAGAAGUGUUCAGACUCAGCAUGGAUGACAUCAGCAGAUGACGUCACCAAGGAAACAGGAGUUGGAAUGCUGGUAUUCUCAGUCAAAAAGACAGUAAUUCAUCCUGAUGGUGGAGCGACUGUGUGAUUUAAGGUGAUUCUACACCAGGCUUAGAAACCAGUGAGGAAUUAAGGUUCAUAUAAAACUAUGGGUCAAAAGAUACCCCAGUGAUUGGUUCCUGCUCUGGUGCCUCACCUCUUCAUGGUUCCUCUUUAGCAGCAGCACCUCCUCCCUCAGGCCCUCCAGCCUCAUUUCCAAGUCGCUGCGAGCGAUCAGCAAAUCGUCCAGAACCUUCCUGAGGUUGGAGAUGUCAGCCUCCACAGAUUGUCUCAUGGCCAGCUCGUUCUCAUACCUGGGGAAAAACAAACCAAUGUUGGUUUCUGGUUCAAAUCCCAAAGGUUUAAAGCUUCAUGUUACCACCCUUCCUUACUUGACUCUGAAGUCAUCGAUGGCCAGCUGGGAGUUGUCGAUGGAGAGGACGAUAGCAGCAUUUUGACGAGCAGCGUCACAGAUCUAGAGGUUGAGAAAGUGUUUUUCAGAGAACUGUCAGUAGCAGAAAAAAGUUUGUCAAUGGAGAAAGAAGAAACAGAAUUAUUCUACUCUUGCCCCUGGUUCUCCUGCCCCCACCCCCCUAUCCUGGUCCUGCUUACCUGGUCCUGCAGACUUUUGAUCUGCACCCUGAAGCGAGUGUAGUCGUGCA
Molecule: long non-coding RNA, 1411 nt
Organism: Cynoglossus semilaevis (tongue sole)
Lineage: Eukaryota; Metazoa; Chordata; Actinopteri; Pleuronectiformes; Cynoglossidae
Exons: 6
Source: RefSeq, a predicted model, not a curated record